Molecule: ribosomal RNA, 497 nt
Filed under: uncultured bacterium
Lineage: Bacteria
Description: partial 16S ribosomal RNA
Rfam family: Bacterial small subunit ribosomal RNA
Source: RNAcentral
GAUGAACGCUGGCGGCGUGCCUAAUACAUGCAAGUCGGGCGAACGGACGGGAAGCUUGCUUCUCUGAUGUUAGCGGCGGACGGGUGAGUAACACGUGGAUAACCUACCUAUAAGACUGGGAUAACUUCGGGAAACCGGAGCUAAUACCGGAUAAUAUUUUGAACCGCAUGGUUCAAAAGUGAAAGACGGUCUUGCUGUCACUUAUAGAUGGAUCCGCGCUGCAUUAGCUAGUUGGUAAGGUAACGGCUUACCAAGGCAACGAUGCAUAGCCGACCUGAGAGGGUGAUCGGCCACACUGGAACUGAGACACGGUCCAGACUCCUACGGGAGGCAGCAGUAGGGAAUCUUCCGCAAUGGGCGAAAGCCUGACGGAGCAACGCCGCGUGAGUGAUGAAGGUCUUCGGAUCGUAAAACUCUGUUAUUAGGGAAGAACAUAUGUGUAAGUAACUGUGCACAUCUUGACGGUACCUAAUCAGAAAGCCACGGCUAACUACGCG